CUUAGGCCUUGGAUGUGAGCAGUCUUCACUGAGGGCUGGGGGAAGAAAAGGAGUAGCUAUUUGUGGUAUUGAUGUCCAGUCAUUGCUGUUAAGGGAUACUCUUUAUGUCAAUAUGACAGUCCUACAAAUCCUGUCUAGCCAACAGUAGAAAGACCUGGUGGUGCUUUGGCACUGUAGUGACACAGCUAUUCUUGGCUAUAUAUAUGUGUAUAUAUUGCAUGUAGAUGUAGAUGUGCAAGAGCAUAACGUGCUUUUACACACACACACACACACACACACACAUUUGUCUAUUUGCAUCUUGCCCAAUAUGGAAUUCUGUGGUACUGCCAUGCAGGCAUUUUUUAUUUUUAUUUUUUAAUUAAUGUCUUUUUUUACAAAACAGUUUUAUUUUUAUGCAUUACAUUAUUUUGUGGCUGAUAAAUGGCUCAUCUAAUAUUCUACAAACAAAUGGAUUCUGGCUAUUAAGACUCAGUGUUUUGGUUUUCAUUUUUCCUGUAAUGUAAGUGUUAUAUUGAAAUAAAGUAUAUUAUCUGGAAUAAUUUUUUUUUGUAAGCAAAGAGGUAGGGUAUACCAUCUCAGCUAUUUUGCUUCUUGUUAUCAUAGUCUUGAAUGAUGCUGUGAGUCAGAGAUUUCAGCAGAAACUUGUCCACAUAGUAGAGCAUUUGAACCAGAUAAGAAAUUUCUGCCAUGAAUUUAGCCUUUAAGAAGCUGCACCUUUUGAGGUUUAUCAAAGUCUUGCCUUAGAUGUUUUGAAAUAGGGAUAGCAGUGCAGUUUUGGCAAGUGUUUGGGUUACAGAGCUGCUUAGAGAGAGAUCCCCUUGUGCAGGUCAACGAGCUAAUAGUCACUUAGUUACAGAAUUUCUGUCCAGAAUGUGAUCCGUCUCUUAUGUUUUUCAGGGAUAUCCAUAACUUUGAGUUCUGCUUUAUGAAGGAGGGAAGGGGCCUAACAACUCUUCUGAAAGGGUGUUGGUUCUGCUUGAGGCUGCUGUCCUACUUUGUCAAUACUUUUCUAGUCUUUGCGGGUGAUGUCACAGCAUCUUUGACAUUCAGACCCCAGUAAUCCACUAGGUGUGUAUCUUGCUUGUUUUUCGCUGCAUGCUUUCUGAUACAGCAUGGGGGAUAACAGUCAUUUUGUGCUGCUCAUCUUUUGUACUUCAGGGUGAAAUAUAAUUAGCAUGUGCUAUGCUUCGUUUCCACAGAUUAUUUUACUCCCACCUUUGCUUUUCUUCUGACGGCUUUCCUCCCUGUAGAAGCACAAAGCCACUGUUCCCAUGCAUGCUCACAGGCUUUCAUUUUGCUCCUACAGCUGCCAGUUUGCUGUAUGUACAAGCUUCUUGUUGCUCAUCAUAGUACCAUCUCUAGUUAGCAGGACCUAGUAGACUUGAAUUGGGCUGGGAGAGAGCAAGAGCUGUGCUCACUAUUCAGACUAUGGGACCUGAGAAAUUUAUUGUGUGCCUUGAGAGAAACUUCCCUUCCCUCUGAAAGAAGGCUCUGCGAUGUUCUGUGGCUGACUGGUGGACACUGCUCAUCUCUUCAAAUCCAGCUCACUCAAGAACCUGAUUGUCUUACAAAGGCAGAAUGCUUUGAGAAGUGCAGCGGAUCUGGAGGUUCUCUAAAACUCAGUCUCCUUAAUCACAAGGGCUUUCUGACAGCUCUUGACCAUCAGCUACAUCCUAUAUUAGCAAAAUUAGUGUGCUGAGCUACUCGCUUUUUUGCAGAGGACCAAGUAACCCUAAUGUUUCUAAGAGCCUUCAAACCUGGUCAUGAGUUUGGGUAUUAGCUGUGCAUAGGCCCCCAUUUUGGCCUCUUUGCACAGGGGUGGUGUUCAUCCCUACUGAGCACUAAAGCCCUGUUGACCUACAGGAGGCCAUUUGAUGCAUUAGUUCUUUAUAUGAAUGGUCAGAAAAAAUAGAUCAUCUUACUUUGCUCUCAGUCUAAUGCAACACAAUAUAUUUAGAGUCACAUAGGCAGAAGGGAGAAGAUUUGCUGCUGUCAGCAUAGCCUUUGACACCAUGUAGACAAGUGUUUGCUGUGUUUAGAAGUGCAGCCUAAGGAAUAAU
RNAcentral lists this long non-coding RNA (2060 nucleotides) under Anas platyrhynchos platyrhynchos (common mallard). RNAcentral's name for it is "lncRNA (ENSAPLG00000026523.1)". The record is from RNAcentral. Lineage: Eukaryota; Metazoa; Chordata; Aves; Anseriformes; Anatidae.